RNA transcript from Motacilla alba alba, 8165 nucleotides. It is a transcript of the gene named cell surface glycoprotein CD200 receptor 1-B-like, with no coding region annotated. The record is from RefSeq and is a predicted model, not a curated record. Lineage: Eukaryota; Metazoa; Chordata; Aves; Passeriformes; Motacillidae. The transcript has 7 exons.
ACAGCUAAGGCUGUGACUUGUUCAUCAUGUCACAAAGCAGUUUGUUUCUCUCAAUUUAACUCUGCCACAUCCUCUUCAGGGCAGUGUACCACCAGAGGGUUUUUUUGACCCAUCUAAUUUGAGCAGGGGGAGGGAGGUAGAGGCUUUAUCUGUCAGUAAGAAAAAUCAGCUGCAUGUUAAGGUCUCAGAAGCUACAACAAACAGAAAUUAAUGAACCAUACAGCUGAACGCAGGGAUGGAAUCUCCUAAACUGAGAUAGUUCCCAGUUUGCACUUACAUCUGGGCCCUUAGUGAGGACUGAGAAGGAGGGGGGCUCCUGGUACAUCCCUGCAGUUCCCUGUGUGCAGGAGCUGCCUCGGAAUCAGCCCUCAGGACUGGGAUCCCCGUGGGAGCGGCUGUGAGUGCUGAAGUCCCACCCCAGAAGGAGAAUCGGAACACCAGAGCACGCUGGAACUGCUGCUGCUCCCCUCCCAGGCUCUGGGCUGAGGAGGGCUCCUCUUGAGCCUGUAAACUGUUGAGGCAUUUUAAUUCCAUCAAAGGCAAUAACACAAGUGCUGAUUCCUUCUGCUAAAGAUGGCUCAGAAAGGAGCACUUCUGGCUCUGCUCCUUUUCUUGCCAGUCAAUCUGGUUGAAGCUCACAACAGGGUGAGUGUAGAGGCUGGCCAUGAAGCUGUGCUGAAUUGCCCCAACAACUCCAAGAUGCCUUCGCUGCUGGUGACGUGGAGGAGGAAUUGCAGAAAUUGCUGCCACUUGUCCUAUAGAAGGGAUCACAAUGAGACAAGCAGGCUGAACUGCAGUGAGAGGAUCACGUGGAAAUAUUCACCUGUCAGCAACCCUGCGCUUCGUAUUUACCCUGUGGACCUCGGGGAUGAGGGAAUUUAUACCUGUGAAUUUGCUAACACUGAAGGGAAUUUUCAUUUUCUCUUUUCUCUGACUGUGAUAGUCCCUCCUACGGUGACUCUGACCCAUGACAAGAGCAGGGUGGCUGUGUGCCAGGCAUCUGCAGGAAAGCCAGCUGCUGACAUCUCCUGGAUCCCUGCAAGCAAACACAGCUCUGAGGAAGAAUUCCGUCACCCCAAUGGAACAGUGACCAGAGUGAGCUACUUUGGCUGGGCUAACAGCUCAUUUCCCUCUGUCACCUGCCUGGUCACCCACACAGCCACGAACCAGACUCUGGUCAUGGACCUGAGAUACACCUCCCAUAGGCUUCUCUACAUCCUGACAGGAGCAGCUGCAGGUGUUGUUGCUGUCACUUUAUGCUUGAUUUUCAUGUGCAGAGGUGAGUCCUUUGAAUCUGAAAUUUAUUACAAUCCCAUUGCUGACUAUGUGCAGGCACAAGGACAUGCACUUUAUUGCUGAGACUGAGGUGGGAGGCAAGGGUUGAGGAAAAUGUUCAUAUAUGCACUGUCCUUUUGGAGAAGUCAUAAUAAAAUAAGGGGCAGCAAUUUAAAAUAACUCUGGAGUUUUGAAAGAGCCAUAGGAAUUGUGAUAUUAAUGCAUUACAGACAUGUCAGAGAUUCAUCCAGGAUUAAAAGGGUUCUUUCUGAGAAUAGGACAGGCUUUGAGUUUUCAGAAUUUUUUUGUUGGUUCUGCAUUUACUGGCACAGAAUUCUAUACUAAAGAAUGACAGUUCAUAAACUAGUGACUAAACACAAACAAUCUCUCUUUCCAUGAGCAGUGAUAAGUUUUCCCUCGAGCAAGUGUAAGAAUAGGCCAAAUGUACAUAGUUUGAUAUCUUUCAGGUAAUUGUGCAUUGGGCAUAUUAGAUAGCUGAUUUGUUCCAUUUCUCAUACUAAAUGCAAAACACAGCUACUAAGAAGAAAAUCAACCCCAGUAGAAACCAGGGCACCCAGCAUGACCAAAAGUUUCAAUGAAGGGAAAAAUAAAACAAGAGCAUGUUAAAGAGCAGGAUGUAAAAAACCCCAAAACUUAAUAUAUGAGGGUAACUGUAUUUUGAAGGAAGUCUUUCAAGAGCUGGGGGCAGCUAGAGGAGAACCCCAGCUAUAACAGCUGUGUACCCUGCACCAUCAAGCCACUCUAACUUCCUGACAUCCUACUUUCAGCUUGCUGGCUACGUAAACGGGCACAGGGCCCAGCAGAACACUUCACAACUAGAGCCUGGAAGUUCCCAUCUUCACGUGCAAGAAGAACAGCAGCCAAGCCUCCUGCCUUUCCAGAGAGCACCUAUGUGAAUUACAACCCAAGAUCUGUUUAUGUAUGCUUAUAAGAGUGUAGGCACAAGUAGCCAGCUCAGCUACUAAUGAUACUCGGCUACUCAAACUUGUACUUCAACUUUUAAGCCUCAGACCUUACCCCCAAAGACCUUUGUCUUUCCUGACCUGACGAUGGUGGGGCAGAAAGGCCUGUUCUAGUAAGUUAUUUUCUCUUUCUCUAAAUAUCAGUACAGCUCUAGAGAAAGUUGGAAAUUUUAAAGAUUGAAUUAGGGAAAUACCUUAAUUUUUUUUAGAAAAUGGACUCUGAUAUAUGUGCUGCCUUUCCUCAAAACAAUAAUGGACAUAUUUCUGUGCCAGAGUAAAAGACUGCUGGUGAAAAUGUAGCACUUUUCUUUCAGUUUUGACAACUGGAUUCUCUUUAAUUCUGUGUUGGAAACUAGACAGUGACAUGGGAGACCUCAAAACACAGAAGAUCAAAGCAAUACAUGUAACAGAAAUGUAGAAAUAAGAGAGUUUUAGGAUUUUUUGGUUGUUUUGUUUUCUGGUUGCAAUGACAGAUGAUGAUCUCGUAUUUGACAUCUUUGUAUUUUUAACAUAUUUCUUUUUCAAUUAAUCUUUCUGUUUGGAUCAAUAAUUGAUGGAAAAUAAAACUAAUUUGAUAUUAUACUGGAUAUGGAAAUAAGAAACAGCAAUGGACAAUUUUAGACACUCUUUAAUGUAAAUAUGCGAAUAUUUACCUCAAGGAUUUCUGUGGUUGUUUGGGAAAAUGUUUUUUGACCAGUUUCUGAGAAGCUGAGAUCGCAUCAUGGUUUUACUGCGAAGUGUUAAGUUGUAUAAAGUACAGGUGGUGUGCUUGUUUAGAACAGAGGAAACAAAGACAACCCUAACCGCACCAUUUAUUUCUUCUCAUCUUAUGUCCCCAGGCUAAAAAACCUCCCCAGAGUGGUUGUUAACUUCAGUUUUCAUUGGUCAGGUCUGUCAGAGCUUCCAAACACUAAUGCAGCAGUAACUGAAAUGUGUGUUUUGAAGAGCCUUUUCCUGCUUGCUUCUGCAGGGUCGUCUCUGUUCCGUCAGCAUUCUUUGGUAUGAGCAUCUCCCAGUGCCUUUUAAUUGCACUUUAUCACUUCUAAAUAGACAUGAAUGUCUGCUGACAUCACUCCAGCCUUUCAUUUUAGUCAGAAAGGCAUAAAGAAUGAGUCUCUGCCUUAAGGAAAAGGACCUACAGAGGCCAUGCUGGUUUCCAGGCUUGGUGCACAAUGAAGCCUCUCCUGUGGUGUUGAAUGUCAGUGAUGGUUUGCUCUCACUCUGGUGUGCGGUAUCAUCAUACCUUCUGUAGGAAGGGAGAGGCCCUUUUCAUGUGUAAAACCUCUGGGAGAAAUAAGUGAUAGCUUGGAAGUAGUGCAAAUAGGUUUGAAAUGAUGUUAGAUAGAAAAAGUGUUUUGUAGCUAUAGUGAAAUCUGCAGCAGUGCCCUAGACCAAGGUGCUGUCGAGGGGUCAUUUGUGACUUGAAGCUUCUGAAAUAGAGGGAAGAUCUCUUGUUGCUGAAGGAACUGCCCAGUCAGGUCUAAACCUGUGUUCCUGGGCUGGUGUUUUCUCAGUGUGGUAAAUAAAUAUGGAUUGUUUUUGUGGACAGCUACAGCAAUCUGUGCCUUUUUCAGAAGCUGGAUCAUUGCAGCCACACCCAAGGAUUACAGGGCAGUUAAAAUUAAGAGAGUUAGGCUGUGGAGCAGCCUGCUUCUGGGAAUCACAGUGCAUGUGUGCUGUGAUCAUUAGGGUGUAAUGCAAUUUUUCCUUAAUUCCUUUCCCCCAAGUGAGAUGUUGAAGGGUGAGAUCUAAUAGAGACAGAAAAGAUAGAACCUAGACAGGGAGAUGAUGGUGUGUGGGGAGAAAGCUCUCUGAAGCUAUCUGUGAUAAUUUGUCCUGGCUGAAAACUAUGGUUUUUGCACUCAUAUCUUUAUUUUCACCUUUAAUGUGUAUUUGGUUGAAUUGGCCUUGCAAGUCACCUGCAAUGUGUAACAGCAGUUGUGUUAAUGUAGAAAUUCUGAGCAGACUUAGUGCUGAAAUGAGGUGCUCUGGCAAUGACAUGGGCUAUCCUGGAAUAAAAUUGGCCCUUAUGCUUUUUAGGCUUGUUGUGUAUGAUUAAUAAAAGUUUUCAGGCCAAAGAGAAUAAUGUGGCUAUGGGGGUGGUUGUAAGAAAGGCUGGGACAUCAAUAAAGCUUUUAUAGGUAGUUUCACUGUUGGUUACGACGGGUAAAGGGCAGGGUUUCAUCAUAUGUGGAGCUCCUGGCAUGGGCUUUGGUGGCUUCCUCUCUGCCUGCCAUGACCACAGCCAUGUGUGCCAUGCUUCUUGGGCUGAUGAGCUGAUCUGUUGAGUAUUUGAGAAUGAGAAAUAAAUCACUUAAAUAUUUUCUGUCAUGCUGCUUUUGUAUUGGAUAGGCAGCUUGGUGUAACCCAAAGAACAACUCAAAAUGUGUGUUUGGUGACUUAUAACAAUUUGGUCUCAAAAUAAGCAACUUGAAAGGUUUUUAUAUUUAUCAUGAUUUUUCCCCCCCAUUCAUUAUGAGUACAUUCUUGGUGACCCUAUACUCUUUAUUUGCACUGAAGGAAAAUUGAAUCAAGGCAGAUAUUUUAGACUGCCAAAAUGUGUAGGAAAAUGCUGACUGUUGAAUAAUCAUUGUGAGAGAGCUACUAAAAAGUGAUAGGAAUUGGAGUGAACUAUUUGCACAUUGUCACAAGAAAAAAAUUUAAAAAAAAGCCUGGGAGCGUGACACUGCUGUUUCAGAUUGACUAUUUAGUGAAAUGCACAGUUGACUGAAUGUCACUUGAGCUUUUUAGCACCAGAUGUGAUUAUAGAUGAAAAUGCUCCUGUUUAUUGUGUGGAUUUUCACUCACAUUGUUCAUAGGACACUCUUUGUAAUAAUGAUGAUGUCUGCUUUCUGAUUAAUCUAUGAACAAUUUGUUUUCUGGAAAUAGCAGGUGUUGUGAUGACUCUUUCUCUUCACCGAAUAUGGAAGAAAUGGUGACAAAGCAUUACAUUUAGAGACUCAUAAAUUGGAAUGUGAUUGUUCAGAUUAUGAACAAUAUUUGUUUCAAAUCACAAAUUUCAACACCAGGAUUGUAGGAAAAUUGUUUACCUUCUUCAUUUCAGACUUUGGAAAUGGAGCAGAUGUCCAAAGGGUAUUUGCCAGUUCAGUGAAGAGCUCAAUUUUCCUAAGUUUGAAGUUGCAGCUAUAAGUUUUGUCUAACCUUCCUGGCAUCAAUUUGUCUCAGCUUUUCCUCUCUGAUGAGAAAAUAAUGCUUUCCUUGGUUCUCCUCUAGUAACUGUAACACCUGUGAUGUCUUUGUGACCCGCUCUUUCUGACUUUGUGAAGUCUUUGCUAUUAAUGAUAACUUGUCAGCUCCUUGAUUUUAUGUCCAUAGUCUGUAUACACCUGUCAUGUGCUGGAGGCAAUGAAGAGCUCAGGAAUUAACGAAGUGGGACUUUUUCUACAUUUCCUAUCACCUCUCUGUUCUGCUGUAGUUUGUACUUGUACUCUUAAUGAUGCUUCUUUAAGCAAGUACCUACUUUUCUGUUUUUCCUUCCCAAUCUUUUCAUGCACUAGUUUUCUCAGUUUAUUGAUUUUCAUGUUCUCUAAGUAUUUUAUUAUCUAGUUUUAUUUCUUUCUCUUUCUGGCAUCAAAUACCAUUUUAUUCUUCAUUCGUUUGUUGCCUUUUGUAUAUGUGUAACGAGAGGUUUCAAAUAGUGACUUGUUUUUGAAUUUUUUAGUGCUUUUCACUGAACUUCUACAUAGAGGUAUACUACCACAGGUCUCCUUUAAUUUUUUUUCCCAUUGCAUUGUAGGAAAUUCAUCACUCUUGAUGAGAAACAUCUUCUGUUCUUAGACUUCUGUGAAUCUAAGCUCACUUACCAAAUCCAAAUGCAUAACAUGUAGCAUUUUAUUUGUUCUUGGCUCACAUCUGUCUAGCAGAAUCAUAGAAUUGUUAAGGUUGGAAAUAACUUCUGAGAUCAUCAAGUCCAACCAUUAACCCAGCACCAUCGUGGUCACAACUAAACUGUGCUCCCCUGGGACAGAUUUACAUGUUUUUGAACACAUCCAGAGAUGGUGAUUUCACCACUUCCCUGGGCAGCCUGCUACAAUGCCUGACCAGCUUCUCAAUGAAGAAACUUAUCUGAGUAUUUCAUACACUCUGCAGCACCCAUGAGGAAGAGGAGUGAGAAAAAUGUGAGAGGAACAGCCCUGCAAACACCAAGGUCAGUGGAGGAGUGCAGGAGGUGCUCCAGGUACCAAAGCUGGGAAUCCCCUGCAGCCCAUAGUGAGACCAUGGUGAGGCAGCUGUGCCCCAGCAGCCCAUGGGAGUCCCUGGAGGAGCAGAUUUCCACCUGCUGCUCAUAAGGAUCCCAUCCUGGAGUACACUUCUGGCAGAAGCUGUGACCCUGGAAAGGGAUCCGUGCAGGAAUGGGUUUUCUGGCAGAAAUCACACUGGAGCAGUCUGUUCCUGAAGGACUGUAUCCCAUGAAAAGGACCCACACUGGAGCCGUUUGUGAAGGACUCUACCCCAUAGUAAGGAACUUGCUGGAACAGAGGAACUGUGUGAAGAAGGAGAAGUGGAGGUGAAGAGGUAUGAACUGACCCCCAAACCCCAUUCCCCACCCCACUGCACGGCUGAGGAAUAUGAGGUAAACCUGUGAAGGGAGUGAGAGCAAAGGUGGUUUCAGUUCUGUUUAUUUAUCAUUAUCCUACUCUGUUAUUAAUUGCUAAGAAAAGAAAUCAAUUUCCCCAAGUCAAGUCUGCUUUGCCCAUGACACUAACCAGUGAUCUUCCUGUUCUUAUCUUGACUCAUGAACUUUUCCAUCAUAUUUUCUCCCCGUCUUGUGCUGAGGAGGGGGAGUGAGAGAGUGUCUGGCUGGGCACUGUCAGGUGGCAGCCAGCCAAGGUCAGUGCACCAGGCAAGGCUUAGUCACCAGCAGAGCUAUAACAGGAAAGAGGAUGCUGCAAACUUUGUAUUCUACAUUAUUAAGGCAUUUUUAUGCCUGUGGUGCCUCUCUAGGUCUUCUGACUUUAAUCUCAUCACUGUGUACUGAGCACUGAAAAUUUCAUUUCCACUCAUUCUAUUCUCUCAGCUGUCAAUAAGUACUGCUGAGCAAACAAGGCUAAGUGCUUUUGGGAUUGAUUUUUGUCUCACUUCUGCCACAGUCCAACAGCAUUUAUAUUGUCAUAUCAUAAUGUUCAUAUCUAGCUGUGCUUACAUUUUAGAUUUCCAUGUGUGCAUCUGAAAAAGAAACCAUGGACAGCCCCCCUGAAAUAAUUUCUGUACUAGAUUUAUGAUCUCUGAAGGGUAAAAUCCCCUCUUCUGUGCAAAACAUGUGGCCAUAUGCUGCAGAACAACGUGCUUAGUACAUGAAUGUCUUGUAACUCACUCCAUCUCAUGUGAGAGGAGUGUUGUGUGGAACAAACAGACGAGCAAGCCAGCUACUGAAAAGCUCUGGUCUGGCUGCUUGUCUUUUUGUGCAACUUGCUUGAAAUAUUCAAAUCAGGAAGAUUGGAAUCCAACACCACCAGUCAGUGUAUUGUUAGGGCUGCCUCCUUAAUCAGGCAAGUUAUGCCUGCAAAGCUCUGAUAUCUUCAGAACUGCCUGCCUCCAGGUCUGAAUAUCUACCAGCUACACUUGGUAUCACAUCCUUCAUCAUUGCCAUUCUUGUGUAAUCAACAGUGGCUGCCAAUUUCAUGCUGCUAUAGAUAGCAAAAAUAAAAAUGUACACCUAUAUGCAAACAUCUUGAUUCAUAGGUACAUUGCUGUGUCUGUGUGAAACUGUGAAUAUACACAGGAAAAGUUACAGGGUUUUUUCCUUGAGAAAUUAAUUUCUUAAUAAUUUCCCAUCAACAGAACAUCUCAUUAUGUAUAAAUGUUGUGAAAGACCUUAUAAGACAGAUAGACACACGAGGGAUAAAAUGAAAAGUUGCUGUGGAAACCAUAACCUAAAAUAAAUCU